This 324-nucleotide ribosomal RNA is filed under the name Triticum aestivum (bread wheat). RNAcentral's name for it is "partial small subunit ribosomal RNA". The record is from RNAcentral. Lineage: Eukaryota; Viridiplantae; Streptophyta; Magnoliopsida; Poales; Poaceae.
AUGAGCAAGAUGAACACCACUCCACCAAAGAAGCCACCCACUGGUCCAUUGAGCCCGUGUACACCUCCAAGAAUGACGACCACAAGGGGGAAACGACACCAGAGCGCCGCCGUCAUCCGAUCUACAGAUUUAGGGUUUCCCCCGGAGGUAGCAGAUAGAGGUCUUGAGUUUCUCCACGGCGAUCCCUUCAAAAAACAACACAAAAGAGUGUCAUCAUCGCCGGUCUUGGCAACAAGCCGAGAACAAGAUUUUCAACCGGAUCCGCUCGAUGAACCUCCGUCUCGCAUCGUGCGCAUGGACCACCAAGAAUCUCUGCCACCAUGA